AAUACCCGUGGCGAAGGCGGCCCUGGACAAGACUGACGCUCAGGUGCGAAGCGUGGGGAGCAAACAGGAUUAGAUACCUGGUAGUCCACGCUGUAAACGAUGUCGACUUGGAGGUUGUGCCCUUGAGGCGUGGCUUCCGGAGCUAACGCGUUAAGUCGACCGCUGGGGAGUACGGCCGCAAGGUUAAAACUCAAAUGAAUUGACGGGGGCCCGCACAAGCGGUGGAGCAUGUGGUUUAAUUCGAUGCAACGCGAAGAACCUUACCUACUCUUGACAUCCAGAGAACUUUCCAGAGAUGGAUUGGUGCCUUCGGGAACUCUGAGACAGGUGCUGCAUGGCUGUCGUCAGCUCGUGUUGUGAAAUGUUGGGUUAAGUCCCGCAACGAGCGCAACCCUUAUCCUUUGUUGCCAGCGCGUGAUGGCGGGAACUCAAAGGAGACUGCCGGUGAUAAACCGGAGGAAGGUGGGGAUGACGUCAAGUCAUCAUGGCCCUUACGAGUAGGGCUACACACGUGCUACAAUGGCGUAUACAAAGGGAAGCGACCCUGCGAAGGCAAGCGGAACUCAUAAAGUACGUCGUAGUCCGGAUUGGAGUCUGCAACUCGACUCCAUGAAGUCGGAAUCGCUAGUAAUCGUAGAUCAGAAUGCUACGGUGAAUACGUUCCCGGGCCUUGUACACACCGCCCGUCACACCAUGGGAGUGGGUUGCAAAAGAAGUAGGUAGCUUAACCUCCGGGAGGGCGCUUACCACUUUGUGAUUCAUGACUGGGGUGAAGUCGUAACAAGGUAACCA
Molecule: ribosomal RNA, 792 nt
Filed under: uncultured Morganella sp.
Lineage: Bacteria; Pseudomonadati; Pseudomonadota; Gammaproteobacteria; Enterobacterales; Morganellaceae
Description: bacterial SSU rRNA
Rfam family: Bacterial small subunit ribosomal RNA
Source: RNAcentral